RNAcentral lists this ribosomal RNA (253 nucleotides) under uncultured prokaryote. RNAcentral describes it as "partial 16S ribosomal RNA". It matches the Rfam family "Bacterial small subunit ribosomal RNA", at positions 524 to 776 of the family's 1533-position model. The record is from RNAcentral.
UACAUGUGGGGCAAGCGUUGUUCGGAAUUACUGGGCAUAAAGGGUGCGUAGGCGGCUUGUUAAGUCAUUGGUGAAAGUCUCCGGCCCAACCGGGGAAUGGCCUGUGAUACUGGCGAGCUGGAGUGCGUGAGGGGUCGGGGGAACGAGCAGUGUAGCGGUGAAAUGCGUAGAUAUUGCUCGGAAGGCCAGAGCCGAAGGGGCCCGACUGGUACGUAACUGACGCUGAGGCACGAAAGCGUGGGGAGCAAACAGG